GGGGGAUUAGCUCAGUUGGGAGAGCAUCUGCCUUACAAGCAGAGGGUCGGCGGUUCGAGCCCGUCAUCCCCCACCA
This 76-nucleotide transfer RNA is filed under the name Acholeplasma sp. RNAcentral's name for it is "tRNA-Val". It matches the Rfam family "tRNA". From Rfam's summary of the family: Transfer RNA (tRNA) molecules are approximately 80 nucleotides in length. RNAcentral also lists the same sequence under 6 other names. Lineage: Bacteria; Bacillati; Mycoplasmatota; Mollicutes; Acholeplasmatales; Acholeplasmataceae. The record is from RNAcentral.